AUUCUACAUGCACCCGUCUCUCUAUCCCCACGAGAACACGAACCAUCCCGGCCACCCGGCGCUAGGGUUCCCUCCGCUCCCAGCAACCCUGUCCACUCUCUCCCAUCCCCAGUCGUCGUCGUAGCCCCUCGACGCCGUUCGAUAUCCAAGACGGAGCCUCGGCCGACAACUCCUUGGAGCACGCCGCCCGCCGGUGGAUGCCCUGGUUCUGCGCGACCCCGCCAGAGACUCACCUCGCCACCUUGGCGCCUCCCGAAGGAUCUCCGCCACCGCCUAGCGCUUCUGUGCGCAAGGAUGCCGACGCCUCUCCCUGGCCCUCCUGGCGGACAGCCUCCAGCCCACACAAGCUUCCCUGUUUUGGCUCUGUUGGCUACCAUGGUUGAGUAGAGCGAGAUUCAAUGAUGACAACACGCACACCUUUCCCUGAUGCUUGGGCAAAGGCAUGUAUGUCCGAUGUGCAGGCAAAACUUUAUAGAUGCAGAUUACAUACAUUAGAAAUUGCCAACUCGGUGGAUGAUAAAUACUAUGACUUGGGACUCAGAAAAAAGAUCAACACGUAGAUGCAGAUUACAUAGAUCAGGACUUGCUAACUCGGCGUAUGACACAUACUAAACGACAUCAACACGUAGGUAUGAGAGUUCGGAAUAUCCAACAUUUGCUAACUACUUUUUAAUUGCUUCGUCCUCUACCUGCAAUUACAACUUCAGUGUGCUUGAUUUUCAAUUAGCCAAGUGCAUUUGUUGGUUUUAGUUCUUUUCUAUAUACAAUUAAUUAUCAAUAGGUUUGAUGAUACUUCAGAACAACAUAUCAAUGUUAGAGGCUUAUUUUAUGUUAUUUGGACUAGCAGUUUUUGUUCUGCCAAUAGAAAUAAUAAAUGAGGGAUUUCCCCAGUUUUUUUCUCCCAUGUUGUUUUGACCAUGAUGUACCAGAUUUUCAAUGUGGAAAACAAUUAGAAUUGCACUUUUCAGGGGAUGUACUUUAGUUGGUGUGCAUGCCUUGGUUCAUUGUUGCCUAGACAAGCUAGAGAAUUUUUGCUGUGAGAAAAUGUAUGGACAUUUGAUGAUUAGGGUUAAGAAAAUAUUAUGAUAACAUGGUUUGGCUUAAUACACUAGGUUGUUCGCUACCUUGAGGAGCUCGAGAAACUUAUUGAAGUGCUUAUAUUUUAAUUAUAAGUUUUGAUUCUUAUGUUGGAGACAUGACUAUGCAAGGAAGUGGUGAGAGAAUUUUGCAGUAGCUUUAUAGUGAUGUUUAGAUAAUUACCAUUUAGAUUAACAAAGAAAACAACUGGGAGCUGCUUUUAGAAUUUCAUUUAUUAUUUGUUAGACCAUGAUCAUCUGCCGAUAAUUAUUUUCCUCAAUAGUUUUUCCUUUAUUACUGAUAUUUUCAUGGCAUUUCAAUUGAUGCACCCUAAUCUAAUAUCUACAAACUUCAUUUACACAACACAAUUGAUUGUUGCUGAUGUAGGUGAGACCAUUGACUAUUAGAGGUGAGUCGGCAAGCUGUUUUCUUCUAUGGUUUGGCAUGUAACUUUGUGUUCUCUAGCUCUUUUUAGUUUUAUAUUUUUCUAACAAACAAGACCAACCUUACCUUAAGAAGAAAAGCAUCAUUAUAACCAUGAAAAAAAAUCUACUUAAAUGUAAGGCUUUUGUUCGUCUAUUAAGUCAUUACCCGUCUAAACGAGACACAGAAAUAAUGAAUUCUUACAUGGUAAGUUUUUGUUUCAUUUUCAUUCUUUGCCUUAUCCCGUGUUGGAAAAGAAGUUCAAUUGUUUUUUUCUUCACAAUGUACCAAAGAUUCUGAUGAAAGAUGCUUAUUUUUCUCUCAGCUUCAAGAAACAGUCACUAUAUACUCUGUUUUGUAUAUAUUAUGUAGUUGUAAGGAGAUGUUUUAUUUUCUUUAUAUGCUACUAUUUUAACGUCUUGGAAGAGUCCUGAAUUUAUUGGAGACAACAAAGUGGGCGCACCAUUUGAGUUAUUUGGCACCUUGAUGCAGCAAAUCAACACAUGUUUGAGCUACAACGGAGGUCACUUAAAUAAAUCAGCAGAGGAAUAGACUCGGCAAGGAAGGGAGCUACUCCAGUGUAGUCGGUGGAAUUGACUGGCAAAGUAAAUCAUGAAGCUCCUGGUUGGACCAAGAGGCUGAGAAUUGGGGCUGCACCUCCUACAACAGUCAGUUUCGUCGGUGGCCUACCAACAACACUGGUGAAGGAAUAAGGGUGGCCCGAGACCGAUAAUAGGGGGCUCUUGAACUGGCAAAGCAAGAAGCCACCAUCGCUUCAUUGUCCCCGGAGAUCGUUUGGUGAUGUCCGAUGGAUAUCACGUGACGGAGUGGAGACGCACACUCCCCUGCCCCAACUUUGGUGCCGCCACCUACCAAUGCGGGGCACAGUCCUUCCUGACCCAGCCUACAUCUUGAUUGUAAAUUUCUCUCACCUUCUAUCUCGUGUUCAUGUGGUCGUAUUGAUUUUGACUUUUGAGAAGUGUUGAAAGAAGAUUAUGUGCUUCAGACGACUGAAUGUCCAGUAAUAUCAUCAACCUUCAGCCAGCAGCGGCUCCGAACUCUUAUCACCUCAAAUGGUUUAGCAUAGAUCAGUCACAUGUGAGGACGAAAGCUUGGAUCAGCUUCUGUAGUCGCUAUCUUCCAUUUACAACCGAGUUUUCUUAUGGUUAUAGGAUAGAAACUUUGUAUUAUUUUGCCAUCUUCUUUCCUUCAUGAAACUAGCUGCAGCAAGUAGCAAUUUAAAUUGA
Molecule: long non-coding RNA, 2747 nt
Organism: Triticum aestivum (bread wheat)
Lineage: Eukaryota; Viridiplantae; Streptophyta; Magnoliopsida; Poales; Poaceae
Exons: 6
Source: RefSeq, a predicted model, not a curated record